This 256-nucleotide long non-coding RNA is filed under the name Ananas comosus (pineapple). Its description in RNAcentral is "long non-coding RNA (ACOM_LNC041256)". Lineage: Eukaryota; Viridiplantae; Streptophyta; Magnoliopsida; Poales; Bromeliaceae. The record is from RNAcentral.
GUUUAGGCAUGUAGCUAUGAAAUGGAAAAAAGAAUAUGAAGGAAAUGUUGGCUUAUCCAAAUUAGUUGUAGCAACACUCUGAAUGAUACCGACCGUUUCUAGAGCAAAUGGUAAAGGAUUUGGUGGUUGAUAUCCGAGGUCCCAAGUUCGAAUCUUAGUUGAUUCACAUUUGUAGCUAAGUUUAUUUCUAAAUGAAAUAAACGAAGCGGGUAGCAUGCUAUCUAUCUCUCAAAAAAAAAAAAAAAAAAAAAAAAAA